AUUGAACGCUGGCGGCAGGCCUAACACAUGCAAGUCGAGCGGAUGAAGGGAGCUUGCUCCUGGAUUCAGCGGCGGACGGGUGAGUAAUGCCUAGGAAUCUGCCUGGUAGUGGGGGAUAACGUCCGGAAACGGGCGCUAAUACCGCAUACGUCCUGAGGGAGAAAGUGGGGGAUCUUCGGACCUCACGCUAUCAGAUGAGCCUAGGUCGGAUUAGCUAGUUGGUGGGGUAAAGGCCUACCAAGGCGACGAUCCGUAACUGGUCUGAGAGGAUGAUCAGUCACACUGGAACUGAGACCCGGUCCAGACUCCUACGGGAGGCAGCAGUGGGGAAUAUUGGACAAGGGGCGAAAGCCUGAUCCAGCCAUGCCGCGUGUGAAGAAGGUCUUCGGAUUGUAAAGCACUUUAAGUUGGGAGGAAGGGCAGUAAGUUAAUACCUUGCUGUUUUGACGUUACCAACAGAAUAAGCACCGGCUAACUUCGUG
This 482-nucleotide ribosomal RNA is filed under the name uncultured bacterium. RNAcentral's name for it is "partial 16S ribosomal RNA". It matches the Rfam family "Bacterial small subunit ribosomal RNA", at positions 30 to 507 of the family's 1533-position model. The record is from RNAcentral.